GCAUAGCAAAAGGUGUUUGUCAGCAGCAAGAUAGUCUUUUUGAAAAGAGAGUUUUUUAGAGGAGCUAAUGCCUAUAAAAUUGAAUUUGAUAAAGUUCAAGAAGUGAAAAGACUGACACAGAAUUAGAUUUGAUUAGAGAAUCAAAUUCGGAGCUAGUAGAGAUGCCAUUAAGAAAAUCUGGUAGUAUACCGCAUCAGUUAGAUAGAUACUAUGAUUUCUUGAUUCCAAGACAGUGACCCU
This 240-nucleotide long non-coding RNA is filed under the name Elaeis guineensis (African oil palm). Its description in RNAcentral is "long non-coding RNA (EGUI_LNC041663)". Lineage: Eukaryota; Viridiplantae; Streptophyta; Magnoliopsida; Arecales; Arecaceae. The record is from RNAcentral.